CCUACGGGUGGCAGCAGUGAGGAAUAUUGGUCAAUGGACGAGAGUCUGAACCAGCCAAGUAGCGUGAAGGAUGACUGCCCUAUGGGUUGUAAACUUCUUUUAUAUGGGAAUAAAAUGUUCCACGUGUGGGUUUUUGUAUGUACCAUAUGAAUAAGGAUCGGCUAACUCCGUGCCAGCAGCCGCGGUAAUACGGAGGAUCCGAGCGUUAUCCGGAUUUAUUGGGUUUAAAGGGAGCGUAGGUGGAUUGUUAAGUCAGUUGUGAAAGUUUGCGGCUCAACCGUAAAAUUGCAGUUGAGACUGGCAGUCUUGAGUACAGUAGAGGUAGGCGGAAUUCGUGGUGUAGCUGUGAAAUGCUUAGAUAUCACGAAGAACUCCGAUUGCGAAGGCAGCUCACUGGACUGCAACUGACACUGAGGCUCGAAAGUGUGGGUAUCAAACAGGAUUAGAUACCCUUGUAGUC
Molecule: ribosomal RNA, 460 nt
Filed under: uncultured bacterium
Lineage: Bacteria
Description: partial 16S ribosomal RNA
Rfam family: Bacterial small subunit ribosomal RNA
Source: RNAcentral